UCCUCUUCAUUGCUACCUGUCAGUUAGGACCCCUAGGUGACAGAGGUGUCCAUUAUGAAAAGUUACAUUUCCCAACCAGCUUUGGAGAUCAUUGCCAAACCCCACAACCUAAUGCCUCAAAUAUAAAACAACAACAACAACAAAAUUUACAGUUUUACUUAAAAAAUGAGAGCGGCAACGACCAACAUCAAACUCUGGUCCCUGGGUCACACUGAUAAGCUUCCUUGCUUAGGGUUUUAACCAGCCUUUACUAUGUAGAAAAAAAACACCAAGAGAAAACACAGUUUUAUUUGAGAAAACAAAACGAGAAAAUAUAUCUCUAGUCUGGAGGGCUUCUCCACACCUGUGUGUGUGGGGACAACAUGUUGCAAUGAAAAAGCAUUAAACCAAGGGGGAUCCUGGAGUCUGAACUCUGACAUGCUGAGCUACAUCAUUUGGAAUUGGUUUAAGCAGUGAGCGUUUUGUCAGGGAAGGUUAUAAAGGAGGUGACCACAGUAAGGAGUGAAAGAAAACUUGAUGGAGAUAGAAAGGCAAUUGUUGAGUCCUCAGGGUGAACAUUACUCCGAAUCAUGAAGGAAUGAAUAGAACUGCAUCCUAAAGUUUUGGAUCACAUCAAUUUGGGAAGCAAGAUCGCUGGUUAACUGAAAGGAAAUAAUCAGAUUCUUUAAAGAUUCUGGAAGACCAGAAGGAAGGUCAAAGUGGAAAAGGGCAGAAAGCAGGAGUCAGGGGAAGAAGUUGCCAAGGCAGCUUGUGGAUCAGAAAAUCACAGAUACUGAAAUGGAUCCUGAAGGACUUCUAGGACUGAGGACCGGAAGGAGAAGGUCUGUCCCUGUGACCUUCAGACCAGCAACUGGUGCUUGGAUGCGGAGCCACCUGAA
Molecule: long non-coding RNA, 878 nt
Organism: Sarcophilus harrisii (Tasmanian devil)
Lineage: Eukaryota; Metazoa; Chordata; Mammalia; Dasyuromorphia; Dasyuridae
Exons: 4
Source: RefSeq, a predicted model, not a curated record